RNAcentral lists this ribosomal RNA (464 nucleotides) under uncultured bacterium. RNAcentral's name for it is "partial 16S ribosomal RNA". It matches the Rfam family "Bacterial small subunit ribosomal RNA", at positions 28 to 507 of the family's 1533-position model. The record is from RNAcentral.
GACGAACGCUGGCGGCGUGCUUAACACAUGCAAGUCGAACGGAAAGGCCCUGCUUGCAGGGUACUCGAGUGGCGAACGGGUGAGUAACACGUGGGUGAUCUGCCCUGCACUUCGGGAUAAGCCUGGGAAACUGGGUCUAAUACCGGAUAGGAGCCAUUUUUAGUGUGAUGGUUGGAAAGUUUUUUCGGUGUAGGAUGAGCUCGCGGCCUAUCAGCUUGUUGGUGGGGUAAUGGCCUACCAAGGCGGCGACGGGUAGCCGGCCUGAGAGGGUGGACGCCACAUUGGGACUGAGAUACGGCCCAGACUCCUACGGGAGGCAGCAGUGGGGAAUAUUGCACAAUGGGCGCAAGCCUGAUGCAGCGACGCCGCGUGGGGGAUGACGGCCUUCGGGUUGUAAACUCCUUUCGCUAGGGACGAAGCUUUUUGUGACGGUACCUAGAUAAGAAGCACCGGCUAACUACGUG